AGAGUUUGAUCAUGGCUCAGAUUGAACGCUGGCGGCAGGCCUAACACAUGCAAGUCGAACGGUAACAGGAAGCAGCUUGCUGCUUCGCUGACGAGUGGCGGACGGGUGAGUAAUGUCUGGGAAGCUGCCUGAUGGAGGGGGAUAACUACUGGAAACGGUAGCUAAUACCGCAUAAUGUCGCAAGACCAAAGAGGGGGACCUUCGGGCCUCUUGCCAUCGGAUGUGCCCAGAUGGGAUUAGCUUGUUGGUGGGGUAACGGCUCACCAAGGCGACGAUCCCUAGCUGGUCUGAGAGGAUGACCAGCCACACUGGAACUGAGACACGGUCCAGACUCCUACGGGAGGCAGCAGUGGGGAAUAUUGCACAAUGGGCGCAAGCCUGAUGCAGCCAUGCCGCGUGUAUGAAGAAGGCCUUCGGGUUGUAAAGUACUUUCAGCGGGGAGGAAGGGAGUAAAGUUAAUACCUUUGCUCAUUGACGUUACCCGCAGAAGAAGCACCGGCUAACUCCGUGCCAGCAGCCGCGGUAAUACGGAGGGUGCAAGCGUUAAUCGGAAUUACUGGGCGUAAAGCGCACGCAGGCGGUUUGUUAAGUCAGAUGUGAAAUCCCCGGGCUCAACCUGGGAACUGCAUCUGAUACUGGCAAGCUUGAGUCUCGUAGAGGGGGGUAGAAUUCCAGGCGUAGCGGUGAAAUGCGUAGAGAUCUGGAGGAAUACCGGUGGCGAAGGCGGCCCCCUGGACGAAGACUGACGCUCAGGUGCGAAAGCGUGGGGAGCAAACAGGAUUAGAUACCCUGGUAGUCCACGCCGUAAACGAUGUCGACUUGGAGGUUGUGCCCUUGAGGCGUGGCUUCCGGAGCUAACGCGUUAAGUCGACCGCCUGGGGAGUACGGCCGCAAGGUUAAAACUCAAAUGAAUUGACGGGGGCCCGCACAAGCGGUGGAGCAUGUGGUUUAAUUCGAUGCAACGCGAAGAACCUUACCUGGUCUUGACAUCCACGGAAGUUUUCAGAGAUGAGAAUGUGCCUUCGGGAACCGUGAGACAGGUGCUGCAUGGCUGUCGUCAGCUCGUGUUGUGAAAUGUUGGGUUAAGUCCCGCAACGAGCGCAACCCUUAUCCUUUGUUGCCAGCGGUCCGGCCGGGAACUCAAAGGAGACUGCCAGUGAUAAACUGGAGGAAGGUGGGGAUGACGUCAAGUCAUCAUGGCCCUUACGACCAGGGCUACACACGUGCUACAAUGGCGCAUACAAAGAGAAGCGACCUCGCGAGAGCAAGCGGACCUCAUAAAGUGCGUCGUAGUCCGGAUUGGAGUCUGCAACUCGACUCCAUGAAGUCGGAAUCGCUAGUAAUCGUGGAUCAGAAUGCCACGGUGAAUACGUUCCCGGGCCUUGCACACACCGCCCGUCACACCAUGGGAGUGGGUUGCAAAAGAAGUAGGUAGCUUAACCUUCGGGAGGGCGCUUACCACUUUGUGAUUCAUGACUGGGGUGAAGUCGUAACAAGGUAACCGUAGGGGAACCUGCGGUUG
RNAcentral lists this ribosomal RNA (1522 nucleotides) under metagenome. Its description in RNAcentral is "bacterial SSU rRNA". It matches the Rfam family "Bacterial small subunit ribosomal RNA". The record is from RNAcentral.